UAUAUUUGCACCUUUAUUUAUCAUACAUAAAAAUUAUUUAAAUAAUAUUGGCAUG
This 55-nucleotide non-coding RNA is filed under the name unclassified sequences. The record is from Rfam.